CUAAUACAUCAGACUGAAACUAAGUCGCCCUAAAAAAGAAGCCAGAAUGAUGAAUACAAUGAUAUUUAAAUUGACUUUACCAGUUGUCCGUGGUGUUGGUCCUUUUGAUGAUAGGAAAUGAAGAUAAGAUGUCCACAGGAAAGUAUUAUUAACCAGACUUUUUGGGCACCGGUUUGGCUCUGUCGGCUUGUAUUUCCGAUGCAGCAGUGCACAGUAGUCAGUGCAUCCGGAGUUUGUGUCCCACUAGCUGAUGGCUGAGCCGUGAUCCUAGGUCGUGGUCCAGAGACUGGAGUUGUUGACAAAAAGUGCUCCCGAAACCAGGCGAAGCUGGUGGCCUGUUAUGCAGACAAGGAGGUACUUGUAACACAGCUUGGUCCAAACUCCUUCAGCAGCGAGAGUCUUGGUAGAGGCCAGUCUGGCCGACUGACCCAUGACAGCACCCUCUACCUGGUCAACCAGAGCCACCCCUUCAGAGUGUAGUUCUCUACUUUCAACGAAACCUCCUCAUCCCCUGCCCAGAAGGGGAAGGCUGUAGAAAGGUUGAAAGUGUUGGAUAAGACAAAAGGAGGAAUGAACAACAGAGUUUCAGAGCACAGGUCUCAAACGCAGUAUCCAAUACUUUUUUGCUUCCUCUCCCGAGAAGGCAUCCGAAGGGCCAUGCAGUUCCUAGGAGGACCCGCAGGAGAAGCGUCGGAGGACUGAGGGCUCAGACAGUGGGGGCGAGGAUGAGGCUGAGAAGCUUGCUGAGGAGAAGCUCUGACAGCUCCAAGAGAUAUCAGAGAGGGCUUCAGGGGCCAUCAGAGAUGGUUUCCAGCAGCAGGCCUCAGCAUGUUCUCAAAGCCACUGGCAACAGAUUGGAAACCUCAUGCUCUACACAGCUGCUGGCAUCACUGGAAGCACCAAGGUUGUGUUCGUCACCAUUCAGAUGGGUAUCUCUAGGGGGAAACUGAAACCUGAGGAUUUCAAGUCUAAAGUGGAGACCAUUCUGAAGACAUUACAGCUCCCCGCACAGGAAGUCAGUGAUGGGGAUAUGGGAGCACCUUUGUGAGAAGGUGAGACCAGAAGACAUGUCUCAUAUCAGACAUUGUGAAUAGGGAUUAAAGGGUGGCUAUGAUUGUAUCCUUCUACAACAGGUCACAACACGGGUGUGUCACAAAAGGUUCACAAUACCAACUCCCUUUGGCACUGUCGAGUUGUGCUUGUCAUCCACUUAGACCACAUUACCCUGGUGAGUCAUGACAUAGACCAGUCACUGCUUCAACAUUUACUCUACCUUUUAGUCAUUUAUCAGACUCUCUUAUCCAGAGCAACUUACAGUAGUGAGUGCAGACAUUUUCAUACUUCAACAAGCAUAUGGUGCGGGAAAUCAAUGGAAUAGAAUAGAAAUAUCAGAUUAGAAUACAAUAGAAAUAUUAGGAUCGAAAAGUACUUUAAUUUGUCCAUAUGCCUCCAGCAUAUGCUUCCAGGAAUUUGAAUAUGAUAAAAAUCAAUGGAGACAAAUCAGCAGAGAAAGUGUUCUGUGUCCACUGACUGUAUGAAAGGUGAUUCUCGCUAUGUUGUAGAUACACUUUAUGACCAGGUGUUGUACAGGCAUGCAUUGCACAUCUUAAUAGUGCCUGAUUGUCU
Long non-coding RNA from Oncorhynchus tshawytscha (Chinook salmon), 1626 nucleotides. RefSeq lists it as uncharacterized. The record is from RefSeq and is a predicted model, not a curated record. The transcript is spliced from 7 exons. NCBI's taxonomy places the organism in Eukaryota, Metazoa, Chordata, Actinopteri, Salmoniformes, Salmonidae.